Molecule: long non-coding RNA, 1886 nt
Organism: Neofelis nebulosa (Clouded leopard)
Lineage: Eukaryota; Metazoa; Chordata; Mammalia; Carnivora; Felidae
Exons: 3
Source: RefSeq, a predicted model, not a curated record
GAUACCUACAAGAUAAACUUCCUCAGUCAGUCUGGGGAACCAUCCAGUUUUCCACACCUCCUCAAACUAGGAACCAGAGUUGAAAGGCCAAAGUCACAUUACUUUCUGAGCGAGCCACAAGCAAAAGCCCAUAGCUUAACUAAAUAUAAAUUGUGGCUUUCUUUCUCUCUUCCAGAAACCUGUGGAAGUAACCGUUGCAUUGAAAGGAAUCCAUUAAUUAUGUAUCUUGAUUAUGGUGGUGAUUACAUGAAUCUACAUGAGAUAAAAUGACACAGAACUAUACAGACUCAAGAUACCACGUAGGCUUCCCGAUUUGUGGAUAUUGUACCACAGUGAUCUAAGAUGUAACCAAUGGGAGACACUGGAUGAAAGCAAUUAUUUUUGAGGUACCUGUUGUGUGAUCCUUUGGGGGCCCUGCAGUUACAAACGUGGUGAAGUUUACAGUCUCUGCAAAUCAGCUCACAAAGAGGCCCUAGAAUUAGCCAAAACCUCUAUUUAACCAGACUGGAAACAACAACUGACAAGGAUACAGAAUGCCUCACUUGAGGCAUAGAGACACAGAGCUUUCGAAGCUUACGAACAGACUAAUUUAAGCUAGACGAACUCAAGUCAGUGACUGUGAUUUUGUUGCAGUUUGUGAACUGGUUCUCCCUUCACAGCGUUGUGGUCUACAGGAUUCAAGAGCUGAGGAGGAGGACGAAGUCGAGGUAGAAACGGUUCUCCUCCACACCUCACACAUCAAAGGUGUAUUUAUAAACAUAUUGGUUAUGUGAGCAGGAAGCAUCAUUGGUAUAAAUUUAAAAGCCUUUUGUUAAGCAGGUGGCAGCUACCUCUUAAUGUUCUCGAAGGUUGUUCAGGUUUACGUAAUUCUGAGAAAGAGGUUCUGGAAUGGUGUCCUGGUAUGUUCCCCCACAAAAAUAGCCCCGGGUAAUAGAGCGAUGGAGCAAAGGGAAUGUUUAACCAUAGACAGCAAUUUGGAGGUGAUGUGGUGGAGGUGGGGGUUGUGAGGACUUCAGUUUUUGUUAAGGGAGGAAAAUGGAUUGAUGAGAACACACUUUAAGAAUAACAACUGGUAAACACAACCUAGUCCAGUUUUUCUGUGUUCCAAAGAAUACUAGUCCCACAAUAGUGUUCUGAGGUCCAACAGGAAAAAUGCCACACACUACCUUCUUCACUUGGUGAUUCAAAGGGUAGCAUGUUAGCCUAUGAAAGCUUUCGGAUAUCGUGUCUGCUUAACGUGCUCAGGCCAGCAAUCUCCCAAACCUAUCUGACUAUAGACAAGGCAGCUUUUUAAUGUUGUGCAGGCCUUGUGCAGAGGGCGGUGGGAGACGAAAUGCAGGCUGGGCCCUGCUUCCCCACCAGAGGAAGGGGCCUCUUUCUCUAAUUCCUUCCAUCUUGCCACGCUGUGAGCCCCCAGGGCUGCGUUCUCCUGAGGGGCCCUGUUCCAGCUGUAGCGUUGGCCUAGCUGUGGCCCUCCUAUAGAACCCUCUUUUUGAGUAACACCUAUUAACAAGCACAGAACUUGUUAAUGCUCCAUGGAACAUAUUUUGAGAAAUGCUGAAUUAAUCCAUUACCUAUCCUUAGUAGGAAAAAAAACAAAAAAAAACUGAAUCCAGAGACCUUAAGUGACUUAUCUGCAGUCAUUUUGUGGCAGAACUUAGAGCCAGAGCUCAGAUCUCUGGAUACUCUGUCCUGUGCUUGGUAGCACUAUUUAAGUUCAGGGUUUUUUUGUUUGUUUUUUUAAUGUUUAUUUAUUUUUGAGACAGAGAGGGACAGAGCAUGAACAGGGGAGGGGCAGAGAGAGAGGGAGACACAGAAUCCGAAACAGGCUCCAGGCUCUGAGCUGUCAGCACAGAGCACGACGCAGGGCUCGAACUCACGGACCG